CAGGUUCUGGUUGGAAACUUUUUCCGGACAGGAAGGGCCCUGGACUUUAAGCUUUUCGUGGGGUAUGCCAACCCAAUGGGACCAACGUUAUCCGCCUUGAAAGGGCCCCGGCCUAACUGGGACUGAGACCUGGCCUAGGCUCCUACGGGAGGCAGCAGUGGGGAAUAUUGCCCAAUGGGCGCAAGCCUGAUGCAGGGACGCCGCAUAAGGGAUAACGGUCUCCGGUUUGUAAGCUCUUUUACCCAUGACGAAGCGCAAGUGACGGUAGUGGGAGAAGAAGCACCGGCCAACUACGUGCCAGCAGCCGCGGUAAUACGUAGGGUGCGAGCGUUGUCCGGAAUUACUGGGCGUAAAGAGCUCGUAGGCGGUUUGUCGCGUCGUCUGUGAAAUUCCGCAGCUCAACUGCGAGCUUGCAGGCGAUACGAGCAGACUCGAGUACUGCAGGGGAGACUGGAAUUCCUGGUGUAGCGGUGAAAUGCGCAGAUAUCAGGAGGAACACCGGUGGCGAAGGCGGGUCUCUGGGCAGUAACUGACGCUGAGGAGCGAAAGCGUGGGUAGCGAACAGGAUUAGAUACCCUGGUAGUCCACGCCGUAAACGGUGGGCGCUAGGUGUGGGUUUCCUUCCACGGGAUCCGUGCCGUAGCCAACGCAUUAAGCGCCCGCCUGGGGAGUACGGCCGCAAGGCUAAAACUCAAAGGAAUUGACGGGGGCCCGCACAAGCGGCGGAGCAUGUGGAUUAAUUCGAUGCAACGCGAAGAACCUUACCUGGGUUUGACAUGUACCGGACGACUGCAGAGAUGUGGUUUCCCUUGUGGCCGGUAGACAGGUGGUGCAUGGCUGUCGUCAGCUCGUGUCGUGAGAUGUUGGGUUAAGUCCCGCAACGAGCGCAACCCUUGUCCUGUGUUGCCAGCACGUGAUGGUGGGGACUCGCAGGAGACUGCCGGGGUCAACUCGGAGGAAGGUGGGGACGACGUCAAGUCAUCAUGCCCCUUAUGUCCAGGGCUUCACACAUGCUACAAUGGUCGGUACAGAGGGCUGCGAUACCGUGAGGUGGAGCGAAUCCCUUAAAGCCGAUCUCAGUUCGUAUCGGGGUCUCCAUCUCGACUACGUGAAGUCGGAGAAGCUGUA
This 1128-nucleotide ribosomal RNA is filed under the name Rhodococcus pyridinivorans. Its description in RNAcentral is "bacterial SSU rRNA". It matches the Rfam family "Bacterial small subunit ribosomal RNA", at positions 193 to 1340 of the family's 1533-position model. The record is from RNAcentral. Lineage: Bacteria; Bacillati; Actinomycetota; Actinomycetes; Mycobacteriales; Nocardiaceae.